GGUUGUGGCUCAGUGGUAGAGCACUUGCCUAGCAUGUGAAAGGCCCUGGGUUCCAUCCUCAGCACCA
RNAcentral lists this transfer RNA (67 nucleotides) under Marmota monax (woodchuck). It matches the Rfam family "tRNA". Rfam says of the family: Transfer RNA (tRNA) molecules are approximately 80 nucleotides in length. Their secondary structure includes four short double-helical elements and three loops (D, anti-codon, and T loops). Further hydrogen bonds mediate the characteristic L-shaped molecular structure. tRNAs have two regions of fundamental functional importance: the anti-codon, which is responsible for specific mRNA codon recognition, and the 3' end, to which the tRNAs corresponding amino acid is attached (by aminoacyl-tRNA synthetases). tRNAs cope with the degeneracy of the genetic code in two manners: having more than one tRNA (with a specific anti-codon) for a particular amino acid; and 'wobble' base-pairing, i.e. permitting non-standard base-pairing at the 3rd anti-codon position. The record is from Rfam by way of RNAcentral. Lineage: Eukaryota; Metazoa; Chordata; Mammalia; Rodentia; Sciuridae.